GAUGAACGCUAGCUACAGGCUUAACACAUGCAAGUCGAGGGGAAACGACAUCGAAAGCUUGCUUUUGAUGGCCUCGACCGGCGCAAGGGGGGGGUAAGCCGUUCCCAACUGGCCACCACCUUGGGGUAACCUUGCGAAAAGAAGACUAAAACCCAAAGAAAAUCCUAAAAAACAUUCGAAAGAGGUUAAAGAAUUUUUCGUGGUUGGUGGGGAUGCGUCUGAUUAGCUUGUUGGCGGGGUAACGGCCCACCAAGGCAACGAUCAGUAGGGGUUCUGAGAGGAAGGUCCCCCACAUUGGAACUGAGACACGGUCCAAACUCCUACGGGAGGCAGCAGUGAGGAAUAUUGGUCAAUGGACGAGAGUCUGAACCAGCCAAGUAGCGUGCAGGAAGACGGCCCUAUGGGUUGUAAACUGCUUUUAUAAGGGAAUAAAGUGAGUCUCGUGAGACUUUUUGCAUGUACCUUAUGAAUAAGGACCGGCUAAUUCCGUG
This 491-nucleotide ribosomal RNA is filed under the name uncultured bacterium. Its description in RNAcentral is "partial 16S ribosomal RNA". It matches the Rfam family "Bacterial small subunit ribosomal RNA", at positions 28 to 507 of the family's 1533-position model. The record is from RNAcentral.